This 253-nucleotide ribosomal RNA is filed under the name uncultured bacterium. RNAcentral's name for it is "partial 16S ribosomal RNA". It matches the Rfam family "Bacterial small subunit ribosomal RNA", at positions 524 to 776 of the family's 1533-position model. The record is from RNAcentral.
UACGAAGGGGGCUAGCGAUGCUCGGAUUGACUGGGCGUAAAGGGCGCGUAGGCGGAUAGUACAGUCAGGCGUGAAAUUCCUGGGCUCAACCUGGGGGCUGCGUUUGAUACGUAUUGUCUGGAGUUCGGAAGAGGGUCGUGGAAUUCCCAGUGUAGAGGUGAAAUUCGUAGAUAUUGGGAAGAACACCGGUGGCGAAGGCGGCGACCUGGUCCGAUACUGACGCUGAGGCGCGAAAGCGUGGGGAGCAAACAGG